CAACACAAUAUUAGUUUCCACACUAACAGACGGCUCCAAUUUCCAAUGAAGGACUUCCUACAAAGUGACUGGUGAACUCUGUGAGCAGGCUUCAUGUUAUUUUUCAAGAGCUGCCUGCUGUGGUCAGAAAUUGAGUAAAACCCUUAAAGCUUACCAGCAAUGUACCAGCAAAUGAAGAAGAGGGUGGUCACGGACAAACAAAGCAGGUUACAUGACCUGUA
Long non-coding RNA from Oreochromis niloticus (Nile tilapia), 221 nucleotides. RefSeq lists it as uncharacterized. Lineage: Eukaryota; Metazoa; Chordata; Actinopteri; Cichliformes; Cichlidae. The record is from RefSeq and is a predicted model, not a curated record. The transcript is spliced from 3 exons.